This 527-nucleotide ribosomal RNA is filed under the name uncultured bacterium. RNAcentral describes it as "bacterial SSU rRNA". It matches the Rfam family "Bacterial small subunit ribosomal RNA", at positions 30 to 527 of the family's 1533-position model. The record is from RNAcentral.
CGAACGCUGGCGGCGUAGCCUAAUACAUGCAAGUAGAACGCUGAAGAGAGGAGCUUGCUCUUCUUGGAUGAGUUGCGAACGGGUGAGUAACGCGUAGGUAACCUGCCUUGUAGCGGGGGAUAACUAUUGGAAACGAUAGCUAAUACCGCAUAACAAUGGAUGACACAUGUCAUUUAUUUGAAAGGGGCAAUUGCUCCACUACAAGAUGGACCUGCGUUGUAUUAGCUAGUAGGUGAGGUAAUGGCUCACCUAGGCGACGAUACAUAGCCGACCUGAGAGGGUGAUCGGCCACACUGGGACUGAGACACGGCCCAGACUCCUACGGGAGGCAGCGAGUAGGGAAUCUUCGGCAAGUGGGGGCAACCCGUGACCGAGCAACGCCGCGUAGAGUGAAGAAGGUUUUUGGAUCGUAAAGCUCUGUUGUAAGUCAAGAACGGGUGUAGAGAGUAGGAAAGUUCACACUAUGACGGUAGCUUACCGAGAAACGGGACGGACUAACGUACGUGCCGAGCGAGCCGCGGUUAACG